CACGUAGGGCGCAAGCGUUGUCCGGAAUUAUUGGGCGUAAAGAGCUCGUAGGCGGUCUGUUGCGUCCGCUGUGAAAACUCGGGGCUUAACCCCGAGCCUGCAGUGGAUACGGGCAGACUAGAGGUAGGUAGGGGAGAAUGGAAUUCCCGGUGUAGCGGUGAAAUGCGUAGAUAUCGGGAGGAACUCCUGUGGCGAAAGCGGCUCACUGGACCACAACUGACGCUGAGGCGCGAAAGCUAGGGGAGCAAACAGG
RNAcentral lists this ribosomal RNA (253 nucleotides) under uncultured bacterium. RNAcentral describes it as "partial 16S ribosomal RNA". It matches the Rfam family "Bacterial small subunit ribosomal RNA", at positions 524 to 776 of the family's 1533-position model. The record is from RNAcentral.